AGGGCGCAGAGAUAGGUGGCUCAUCUUCUUUCUUAGUCUUCUUUCCCCAUCUUCUUCUUCUUCAUUUCUACUCUCCCCCCGUAGAUCUGUCCUGCUAACACUUCUACCAGACGUUCGUGCUACCAUUUCUAGGAUGUCCACGGCGACAAUCGUUCACGAGGACGACACCGUUUGCCAUUGGCUGUGGAGGUUGCCCAUCUAAGUCGAACCACGAAAAAACCGCAGUCGACCCCAAUGCAGUUCAUGUGGAGUGCCCAAUUUGCAAUGAGUGCAGAGUCUUGUGCAACAAAGACAACGUAUCAAAGAACCACGGCUUCUAUUUUUCUCGACAUGAUUGCACAGAAAGAACGAAAUAUUUGAUCCUUAAGGAGCACCCCUAGCUCAUCCUACUAAAGCAUUUUCAGGAGCUGUCCAAGAAGAAUCCACCUACUAAGGAGAGCGAGGGCCAGG
Long non-coding RNA from Triticum dicoccoides, 450 nucleotides. RefSeq lists it as uncharacterized. The transcript has 3 exons. The record is from RefSeq and is a predicted model, not a curated record. NCBI's taxonomy places the organism in Eukaryota, Viridiplantae, Streptophyta, Magnoliopsida, Poales, Poaceae.